UUGAGCCGGAUGCAGGGAAACUUGCAAGUCCGGUUCUUAGGGGGGAGGGGAGCGGCAACGUGACCUUCCUACCCGAC
RNAcentral lists this non-coding RNA (77 nucleotides) under Aeromonas salmonicida. The record is from RNAcentral. Lineage: Bacteria; Pseudomonadati; Pseudomonadota; Gammaproteobacteria; Aeromonadales; Aeromonadaceae.